GUCUUUUUGAGUUAUUUUUAAAGUNUAACCUGCCCAAUGAAUUUAAAUUAAAUGGCCGCAGUAUUUUGACUGUGCAAAGGUAGCAUAAUCACUAGUCUUUUAAUUGAAGGCUUGAAUGAAUGGUUGGACGAAGUAUAAUCUGUUUCAUUUAAAUUUAUUAUAGAAUUUUAUAUUUUAGUAAAAAAGCUAAAAUAUUUUUAAAAGACGAGAAGACCCUAUAAAUCUUUAUAAUUUAUUUUUUUUUUAUUUUUUUGAUUAGUUUUGUUUAAAUAAUUUAAAUUAUUUUGUUGGGGUGAUAUUAAAAUUUAAAAAACUUUUAAUUAAUUUUUUUUUCAUUAAUUUAUGUUUUAUUGAUCCAUUAAUAAUGAUUAUAAGAAUAAGUUACUUUAGGGAUAACAGCGUAAUUUUUUUGGAGAGUUCUUAUUGAUAAAAAAGUUUGCGACCUCGAUGUUGGAUUAAGAUAUAAUUUUAGGUGUAGUCGCUUAAAUAAUAAGUCUGUUCGACUUUUAAAUUCUU
Molecule: ribosomal RNA, 516 nt
Filed under: Acanthiophilus helianthi
Lineage: Eukaryota; Metazoa; Arthropoda; Insecta; Diptera; Tephritidae
Description: partial 16S ribosomal RNA
Rfam family: Bacterial large subunit ribosomal RNA (bases 392-516)
Source: RNAcentral